GACGAACGCUGGCGGCGUGCUUAACACAUGCAAGUCGAACGGCAAGGCCCUGCUUUCGUGGGCUGCUCGAGUGGCGAACGGGUGAGUAACACGUGAGUAACCUGACCUAGACUUUGGGAUAACAUAAGGAAACUGGGCGUAAUCCCAGAUCGGAGCCCCUGCUGCAUGGUGGGGGUUGGAAAGUUUCGGCGGUUGGGGAUGGAUGCGCGGCUUAUCAGCUUGUUGGUGGGGUAGUGGCUUACCAACGCAUUGACCGGUACCCCACUUGAGAGGGUGACCGGCCUCAUUGGGACUGAGAUACGGCCCAGAGUCCUACGGGAGGCAGCAGUGGGGAAUAUUGCACAGUGGGCGGAAGCCGGAUGAGACAGCGCCACGUGCGUGAUGACGGCCUUCGGGUAGAAAACCGCUUUCGCCUAAGACGAAGCGUUAGUGACGGUAAUGGGUGAAGAAGCACCGGCUAACUACGUG
Molecule: ribosomal RNA, 468 nt
Filed under: uncultured bacterium
Lineage: Bacteria
Description: partial 16S ribosomal RNA
Rfam family: Bacterial small subunit ribosomal RNA
Source: RNAcentral